UACGUAGGGUGCGAGCGUUGUCCGGAAUUAUUGGGCGUAAAGAGCUCGUAGGCGGUUUGUCGCGUCUGCUGUGAAAACUCAGGGCUUAACCCUGAGCCUGCAGUGGGUACGGGCAGACUAGAGUGUGGUAGGGGAGAUCGGAAUUCCUGGUGUAGCGGUGGAAUGCGCAGAUAUCAGGAAGAACACCCGUGGCUAAGGCGGCUCUCUAGUACGGUACUGACGCUGAGACGCGAAAGCGUGGGGAGCGAACAGG
Molecule: ribosomal RNA, 253 nt
Filed under: uncultured bacterium
Lineage: Bacteria
Description: partial 16S ribosomal RNA
Rfam family: Bacterial small subunit ribosomal RNA
Source: RNAcentral